Long non-coding RNA from Brassica napus (rape), 2050 nucleotides. RefSeq lists it as uncharacterized. Lineage: Eukaryota; Viridiplantae; Streptophyta; Magnoliopsida; Brassicales; Brassicaceae. The record is from RefSeq and is a predicted model, not a curated record. The transcript has 6 exons.
AUUCUCUCUCUUCGUCUUCGUCGUCUCUUCGUCUUCGUUCUCUGUUUUUCUUUUUGUUCUGAGAAAUUGAUGGGGACAACAAAUCGGGUGGGGAUUGUUUUCGGUGGUGUCGAUGGAACGUGGUUGCUAUCAAGGAGAUCGCCAUGGAGAUCGCCAUGUCGGGGAUUUUCAUCUCGAGGAAGAUCAAUCACCCCAACAUCAUCCGCUUCAUCGACAUGAUCGAGCUGGAAACAUCACCAUAAAAUGGGAUAUCGUUAGCUGGACUGCUGAUGGCUAUGUGGCUGUUGUAUCAAUCUUCAAUUUUCAACAAUACCGUCACAUUCAAGCCCCGAGUUGGCAACUAGGAUGGAGUUGGUAUAAAAAGGAAGUGAUAUGGAGUAUGGUUGGUGCACAAGCCACAGAGCAAGGAGAUUGUUCUAAGUUCAAAGGCAACAUUCAUCAUUGCUGCAAGAAAACCCCCACCGUCGUUGACUUGUUACCGGGAACUCCAUACAACCAACAGAUGUUAAACAGUUGUCGAGGCGGUGUGAUUAGCUCCUGGGCACAAAACCCCACAACAGCCGUGGGAAGAACAACCUCCAGCCGCUCUUGCAAUGUACACAGCAUAUGUGUCCCAUCAGAGUUCAUUGGCAUGUGAAAACUAACUACAAAUAGUACUGGCGUGUGAAGGUCACAAUCACAAACUUCAACUACAAUAUGAAUUACUCGCAGUGGAAUUUGGUUGUUCAGCAUCCCAACUUCGACAAUAUCACUCAACUUUUCAGCUUUACACUCCCACAACGUUAGAUUCAGAUCUUGUACGCUUUGAGCUUGUCAUUAAGGUAUAUAUGCUCAAAAACACUUCUCACCCUGACCUGGAUUUUGAUUCUAGUGUUCUAGUGUUUGUCUAGUUUUUGUGUCAAAUUCUAUUGGAAGUUUUACUUUGUUUCUUUCAUGUUUGUUUAAAAAAUUUAAUUAUAAAUUUGUAUUUGUAUUUUUAAUAUGUUUCUAUGUCAUAUUUGUUUAAAUUUUAUGAAAUCCAAUAAUUUAUAAGUUUUGUUAAAUUUAAAUUUAAUAAUUCAAAAAGGUUCUUCCAUUAGACAAUUAAAAAUUUAAUUAAACCAAUAAGGGUUUUAAACUUUUCAAAUCACAAAAUUAAUUACUAAUUUAUUCAUUAGACCCACAAGGGUCUCUGACCAAUGUACUUGCUCUGAGUCUCACCAAUCUUCUUCUCUUUCUUUCCCACGCCAUGUUUCUUUGAUUUUAAUCUUAUCAUUGUUUUUCAAUCUUAUUUGAUUCAAUUCGCUUCCUCACGUUCUCAGUUUCGAUCUCUAACCACCGUUGAUUGAAGCUUCACAACCACACUCCUUUUGACACCGCGUCACCACCACCACCACCACCACCAUCGCUCCCAUCUGCCAUCGCUUCUCAGAUCCGUCUUCACCAGAGUCGCCACCACCACCGUCACGCUCGUCAUAAUCACCACUCAGCUCUCUGUCUCUCACUUUCUGUUUCUUAUUCUCUCUGCAUUGAGAAAGAAGCGCGAGGCACUCACCAGUGGCAGUUCUUUUACCAAAUCUAAAAGCUUUGCUUCAGGACAUUGACAGAAGCCGAGGAGCCAGAAGAUAUCUUUCAGGUCGAUGGUGAAGUCAGUAAACUCAGGUAGAUUAUGUAAAGUUGUGUGAAGUCGGACAUUAUCUCGUUGGAGUAUGAAAAGGUGAAGUUUCAUGGAGAGCUUGAUACUGGAAGAAGACAGAGGCUACGUCCUUUGGUGCUCCUGGAAACCGUGUUGCUGAAUUGGUAUUUAACACCUCCUUGACAGGUUAGCUGUGGGGACAUUAGAUGGAGUUGGAGUCGAGCAAGAUAGAAGAGAGGAGAUGGAGUUGGUUCAGAAGCGAGGGAAGAGAGAUACAUAAGAAGUUUGAUGGCGCUGGAAGAGUAGAGACGUUAGGAAUGAUUGCGAAGGGUUAUUAGUAGUAGAUUGAUAGUAUUUUUGAUAGAUUUUGAUGGUUUGUGUAAACAAGAAAAUGUUUUAUGGUUUUGUAAAUAUUUAAAUAUUUUUUAGUGUUUA